RNAcentral lists this ribosomal RNA (445 nucleotides) under uncultured bacterium. RNAcentral's name for it is "bacterial SSU rRNA". It matches the Rfam family "Bacterial small subunit ribosomal RNA", at positions 354 to 796 of the family's 1533-position model. The record is from RNAcentral.
GUAGGGAAUAUUGGGCAAUGGAUGCAAGUCUGACCCAGCCAUCCCGCGUGCCGGAAGAAGGCCCUCAGGGUUGUAAACGGCUUUUGACGGUGAAGAAUCGACAGGAUGCGUCCUGUUUUGACGGUAGCCGUUGAAUAAGCACCGGCUAACUCCGUGCCAGCAGCCGCGGUAAUACGGAGGGUGCGAGCGUUGUCCGGAUUUAGUGGGUUUAAAGGGUGCGUAGGCUGGUAGGUCAGUCAGCGGUGAAAAGCUGUCGCUUAACGAUAGUCUUGCCGCAGAUACUUCCUUUCUUGGAUGAGGAGGAGGCCACUGGAACGGAUGGUGUAGCGGUGAAAUGCAUAGAUAUCAUCCAGAACACCGAUUGCGAAGGCAGGUGGCUGUACCUUAAUCGACGCUGAUGCACGAAAGCAUGGGGAGCAAACAGGAUUAGAAACCCGGGUAGUCC